UCUCCUUUUCGUUCAGUGGUCAUCCAGUCGUGCUAGUGAGAGGUUACUAUCGCUUCUUGUUAAAGAGACUACUUCUUUUGGCAAACUAUGGGUGAUAACAGAAAAAGAGGCGUCACUGUUGUCAUUCUUUGGUAGUACUCAAGCAAGAAGCUGCGGCUAGAAGAUGACGUUAACACACUUCAUCUUGCUCUCCAACAACAGACGAUUCAUCACCAACAGCUCAGCCAAAAACUUCAACCAAUAGGUCUUCUAACCAGUCUGCUGUCGUUAUUGAAGAAAUACCUUCUACUAGCAUCGAUCCACCACAGUCAUCAGUCGAUGAACACCUAAUAUAUGAAUGACACCCUUGUCACAAUCCAAUAUUUGCUAAAAAGUCAUACAUUUUGGCCCAUUUCACCCUUACUUUGAGUACCUUGUAAUUGAGGGGAUAAAAUUACGCUCAGAAUGGUACCAAACAUAUAUUAUAUAACUUGAAUGCAGU
Long non-coding RNA from Homalodisca vitripennis (glassy-winged sharpshooter), 481 nucleotides. RefSeq lists it as uncharacterized. The record is from RefSeq and is a predicted model, not a curated record. NCBI's taxonomy places the organism in Eukaryota, Metazoa, Arthropoda, Insecta, Hemiptera, Cicadellidae. The transcript is spliced from 2 exons.